CUGGAUUCCCACCUUCGGAUCCUUUGACACCAUCUCCAGAGACAUCAGGACUGAGGACGGGACCGUGACUCUGCGGUGGCCCGUCUUUCACUUGUCUGGAAACCUCAUAGCCGUGCACCACCUCAAGCCCCGCAGGGAGUCCCUGCCAGCCCAUAGGAAGCUGGAGCCGCUCAAGAGCAGCGAGGUGGCCGCAGCUGCCUCUGUGACCUGGCAGACAGCGCAGGCUUGCAUCCAAAGCACCGUUGUCCCUGCUCUCUGGCUGCCUGAAGAAUGGGGAGAACGUUGCCGUUGUCUUCAAGGACAUUGGAGUGCUCCACAUCGAUGGACUGACCUUCCACAUGAAAUUCUAUUACGACUUCCUUGAGAAGCUGUCAGGGAAAGAGAAGUUCAGGAAAGCUCUUCUCAAGGCCCCCUGGCUGCUGGACAUGGUGGUGUCCCGAGCGGCACCGGUGGCCUCCCUGGCACUCUCUGGCUGCCUCGUCGUCUUUCCCAAGUGAGUAUGUUGGGGGCUGUAGCUGCUGCUUGCUGCAGCUGCUCAGCUCUCAUGCCGUAGCAUUUGUUCCUUGUGACCAUGGGUGUCCCUGCCCUGCCCACGAGGAUAUGGCAUAGAAUCAUCGCAUCAUUUGAGCUGGAAGGAACCCGGAAAGGGCACCUAGUCCCACUCCCCUGCAGGGAACAGGGGACACCUACC
Molecule: long non-coding RNA, 691 nt
Organism: Gallus gallus (chicken)
Lineage: Eukaryota; Metazoa; Chordata; Aves; Galliformes; Phasianidae
Exons: 3
Source: RefSeq, a predicted model, not a curated record